GUGUUGAGAGAUUUUACUUGCAUAAUAUUUAUUUAAUUUAAUAUUUUUAGUGUUAAGAGAGACUCUAGUUACAUAAUAUUUAUUUUAUGUGGCUUAACUAUCAUUAUUAUAAUUGUUUUAUGUAAUUUAUCUUACUAAUAUCAUAUUUUCUAAAAGGCUUUCAAAGUUAUAACAGUUUCCAAAAUCAUUAUUUCAUCUUUUAUUUUAUAUUUCAAUUUCUGCACGUGAACAUUUUUUGUAACACCUUACAUACUCGAACUUCACCAACCCGUAAUUCGAUUAGGCUACUGAAGAACUGCCAUGAUUCGAUCUCAAUUAUUCUAUUGAAUUAUACAUUUUCCUUUGCAAAUCAAUUGAGCUGGAAAAGUAU
Molecule: long non-coding RNA, 370 nt
Filed under: Brassica napus (rape)
Lineage: Eukaryota; Viridiplantae; Streptophyta; Magnoliopsida; Brassicales; Brassicaceae
Description: long non-coding RNA (BNAP_LNC000691)
Source: RNAcentral